GGAAACUGUCAGAUACUAGAAAAAAAACACGGAUACAGCUCUCCUACCCCACGUCGGGUCAAAUCGAAUGCGGAUCUGGCGAACAGAAAAUUGUCUACACCGCGAUAGACUCGUGGAUUACCGUCUCUCUCGUCCUUCAGUUUUGGCUUACAACCUACUUAUCCUCUUCUUCUCACAAAAGUCUUCCGCAUCUCCACCUUCCUCCGGCGAUCUCUUGCCCAGCCACGGCGGAGAUGGUGCCCAAGCGUGUAUUCAUGGCCAUGUGACAUGGGGAAAGAGAAGGCGGUCGCCGUGAAGGAACCGAGGCUUAGGCCGUGCAUGUGCCCAUGAGACUACAGCGCAUAUGCGAGGGGGCUGAUUCCUUAGGCGUCCAUGGCAUGAACCUUGGUUUAUGCUUCAAGAUCUAAAGCAAUCAUGACGUCGGUAUGAACAUAAAUCGCCCAACUUAAAUGAGAUUCGCCCUGACGGAGCUUUGAAUUAACUCUUUCCUGAUGAACUCCGGCGAGCUCUUUUGCAUGAAGCCGACGUGGCCGUGAGGAUGUCCGUGAGCCGUGCAUCUUCCUCUCGGAAUUCCUCUCCUCCUCUGGAAAGUCCUGCCCAACUCCACAUAGCUUCCUCCGGUGAGCUCUUGCUCAGCCACGGCCGAGGCGACCGGGAUGAAAGUCCCAAGGCAUAUGCUUGACGUUCAUGUGACAUGGAGAAUGAGAGGCUGUGCCGGACUAUGUAUGUUGGUUGUCCUCUGCACCUCUUUCUUCUAGUGAAUCCCCGGCGAGUCCUGUUCAUGCCCGGCGAGGUGGCUGAGAUGGUGUCCGAGGCAUAGGCCCGUGCAUGUGCCUCUGGGACUACGGCGCGCAAGUCACGAGGCUGAAUCCUCAAGUGUUCAUGGGACGAACCAGAGUUUAUGGAGACGGGAGAGGAGGCACGGUGGUCCAAGUUAAUAAUCAACCGUUGGCAAGGCAACUCACGGCUUGAAGAGGCUCGACAGAUGCAUGAUUAGUUCUUGUUCCAAGAUAUUUGCCUUGUCAAGCCAAUUCAGGGAUAUAAGUCUGUUGGCAAAGACGCUCCUUCUGGAAGCCUGCCCGACGAACAACUUGAGGCUGAGUGCAGAGAGGUGCUGCAUGUCUCUUAUCUGAUUCCAGGCCAACCGGUGCCUGACCAUGGAUUGAUUGAAACACGCGUGGGUGAUGUCACAAUGUGAAUACUGAGAUAUUCUAACGGGCCCGAUAAUCCACUUUGAAAACUCGGCCCACCAAAACAAGCCAGCCCAGGUGGAUAUAACCACUCUCGCUGUGGUCAACUACUUAACUCCAUGCUCGGUCUCCUCCCCCCAUUUUCCGCAUCAUUAACCCUAGGCCAAAGGAGGCUGGCGGCUGGCGGCUGGCGACUGGGCAGGACCGUCGAGAAGCUAGCGGCUGGAAACGAGGGUUCAUUGAAGAUGGCAAACGUUCUGCUAGCUGGUCUCCGCGGAGCAAAGCAGCUGGGGAAGAACUUAGGGUCUGCAUACAGAUCACUUUCAUCAGGAUCGUCUCCAAAAUGGGUCGAGCCCGGCUAUGACUUCGGUCGUAAACGUUUUGGGCCAGAUUACGGGGUUACCACCUCAGUUGGUCAAUACGGAUUGCCCAAGUCUGUGGAUUGGAGAGAUGUUCCUUGGGUUCAAAUCCCAGUGAAAAGUCGUUUGAACAGUGGCUCUUCCUAUAUUCAGGCAUCCCUUAUGAGUAUCGAAAGCCUUGUUUCCAUAACAAGUACAAUUCCCAUCGAAUUGUCUGCCCAGCAUAUCCUUGAUGCGAAUACGAUAACUAAUUUUGGAUGCAAGAGUGGAACUGCACCUAACGUAUUCGAUUUUAUCAUGAGGAAUGGGGGAGUAGUUGCAGAGUAUGCUUAUCCUUAUACUGGGAACAGGGGCAUUUGCCAGAAUAUUCAGGCUGAAGGAGUCACCAUUGAGAGUUGGAUAAACGUCCGUCCAGUGGAAGAAGCUUUAAUGUAUGCAGUGGCCCAUCAGCCAGUUGUUGUCAGAGUCGCUGUGGGGAAAGAGUUUGCUAAUUAUUCAACUGGCACUAUCAAAGUCCCAGAAGACCAUGGAAAGACAAAUCAGUCAAUGCUGCUCAUUGGAUAUAACGAAGCUGACUGGUUAUUACUGAAUUCAAAGGGUAAGCGGUGGGGCAUGGAAGGUGCUUGUUGGAUCCCGAGGAAGUCACCAAAUAUUGAUGGAGCUAUUGGAAUUCUAUCUUCGGCCUGUCUUCCACUGAAUCCAUCUUUUGUGUCUGUCACAACGAGAACAGAAAGUUGCCCGCUGCAUUGGAUUGGCAAGAAAUCUCCUUGAAUGAGUGGUGUCAAGGCACACAAGCACACUUUGCUGAAGCAUGGCUGUGGAUUGCUUGGAACUCUCGUAAUUCGACAUUUUGUUGUAAGUUGGGAGUGUGGUUGGCCUGUGUUGGCACAUUGUGGCAAAAUUGGACCACUGCUAGCAUUUAAUACUUGAUUGCUUGGAGGUCUCAUAAUUCGACAUUUUGUUGUAAGUUGGCAGUCUGGUUGGCCUGUGUUGGCACAUUGUGGCAAAAUUGGACUCUGGUUUGGCCUGUGUUGGCUGAGCUUUUGCUGCUUGGUUAUGUGGAGCAAUGCAUGAUGUGCCUCAUCCUUGGUUGAGGUUGUAAAUAUUCUGGGAGUCGAUCUGUAGCUUGGAUGCUAUAGUGUAAGUUGAGUUCAUAUCUUUGGUGGUUUAAGCUUUACUCCCUCCGUCUCAUAAUAUAAAAACGUUUUUCAAACUAAC
RNAcentral lists this ribosomal RNA (2767 nucleotides) under Triticum aestivum (bread wheat). RNAcentral describes it as "partial small subunit ribosomal RNA". Lineage: Eukaryota; Viridiplantae; Streptophyta; Magnoliopsida; Poales; Poaceae. The record is from RNAcentral.